AGCGAACGCUGGCGGCAGGCCUAACACAUGCAAGUCGAACGGAUCCUUCGGGAUUAGUGGCGGACGGGUGAGUAACACGUGGGAACGUGCCCUUUGGUUCGGAACAACUCAGGGAAACUUGAGCUAAUACCGGAUGUGCCCUUCGGGGGAAAGAUUUAUCGCCAUUGGAGCGGCCCGCGUCUGAUUAGCUAGUUGGUGAGGUAACGGCCCACCAAGGCGACGAUCAGUAGCUGGUCUGAGAGGAUGAUCAGCCACACUGGGACUGAGACACGGCCCAGACUCCUACGGGAGGCAGCAGUGGGGAGUCUUGCGCAAUGGGCGAAAGCCUGACGCAGCCAUGCCGCGUGAAUGAUGAAGGUCUUAGGAUUGUAAAAUUCUUUCAGCGGGGACGAUAAUGACGGUACCCGCAGAAGAAGCGCCGGCUAACUUCGUG
RNAcentral lists this ribosomal RNA (433 nucleotides) under uncultured bacterium. RNAcentral's name for it is "partial 16S ribosomal RNA". It matches the Rfam family "Bacterial small subunit ribosomal RNA", at positions 29 to 507 of the family's 1533-position model. The record is from RNAcentral.